CUUAUCGCUUUAAGAGGGGUUUAUGUCCUAUCAGCUUGUUGGUGGGGUAAUGGCCUACCAAGGCAAUGACGGGUAGUUGGCCUGAGAGGGUUAUCAGCCACACUGGGACUGAGACACUGCCCAGACUCCUACGGGAGGCUGCAGUCGAGAAUCUUUCGCAAUGCCCGAAAGGGUGACGAAGCGACGUCGCGUGGGUGAUGAAGGCCCUUGGGUCGUAAAGCCCUGUCAAGAGUUAUGAAAGCAGCUUGCUGUUUGACAAUGCUCUAAAGGAAGUCACGGCUAACUCUGUGCCAGCAGCCGCGGUAAUACAGAGGUGGUAAGCGUUGUUCGGAAUUAUUGGGCGUAAAGAGCACGUAGGUGGUCAGAUAAGUCAGAUGUAAAAUACCCUUGCUCAACAAGGGACCUGCAUUUGAAACUGUCCGACUAGAGUACAGAAGGGGAGAAUGGAAUUUCUGAUGGAGCGGUGAAAUGUGUAGAUAUCAGAAGGAACGCCGGUGGCGAAAGCGAUUCUCUAGUAUGUAACUGACACUGAGGUGCGAAAGCUAGGGGAGCAAACAGGAUUAGAUACCCUGGUAGUCCUAGCCGUAAACGAUGGGCACUAAGUAGAUGGUCUUUGAUUCUCUACUGGAGCUAACGCAUUAAGUGCCCCGCCUGGGGAGUACGGUCGCAAGACUAAAACUCAAAAGAAUUGACGGGGGCUCGCACAAGCGGUGGAGCAUGUGGCUUAAUUCGAUUCAACGCGAAGAACCUUACCGGGACUUGACACGUUAGAAGUAGGAACCCGAAAGGGUAAGCAACGGUAUCCAGUCCGUAACUAACACAGGUGUUGCAUGGCUGUCGUCAGCUCGUGUCGUGAGACGUUGGGUUAAGUCCUAUAACGAGCGAAACCCUUGUCUUUAGUUGCCAACAGGUUAUGCUGGGAACUCUAAAGAGACCGCCGUCGUUAAGACGGAGGAAGGUGGGGAUGACGUCAAGUCAUCAUGGCCCUUACGUCCCGGGCUGCACACGUGCUACAAUGGUAGGUACAAAAGGAAGCAAGACCGCGAGGUGGAGCCAAACCUGAAAAGCCUAUCCCAGUUCGGAUUGAAGGCUGAAAUUCGCCUUCAUGAAGUUGGAAUCGCUAGUAAUCGCAGAUCAGCCUCGCUGCGGUGAAUAUGUUCCCGAGCCUUGUACACACCGCCCGUCAAGCCACCCAAACAGGGUGUACCCGAAAUCGUUGACUUGACCCUAUGGGAGAGAGGCGCUGAAGGUAUGCUUUGUGAGGAGGACUAAGUCGUAACAAGGUA
This 1286-nucleotide ribosomal RNA is filed under the name metagenome. RNAcentral describes it as "bacterial SSU rRNA". It matches the Rfam family "Bacterial small subunit ribosomal RNA", at positions 211 to 1498 of the family's 1533-position model. The record is from RNAcentral.